CUUUGCCAAACCACGAAACCAAGGUGGCUAUGGUGGUUCCAGCAGCAGCAGUAGCUAUGGCAGUGGCAGAAGGUUUUAAUUACUGCCAGGUAAGUAAACACCUUUUUAUGUUUUAAGUUAAUUUUUGUAAAUGAUAACCCAGUAACCCUAAUGUAGCUGAGCAGUGCAACAUAGUUAACAUUAUAAUUGCAGUAAAAUUUUGGAUAUUAAGUUAAUAUUCAGAUCAGCAAAAUUUGUGGGAAACAAAACUUGCUAUUGGAUUGUAGCUUUGAGUCUUAAUAUGUUUAGAUUAACAACUUUAUUCCAUAUUGUUCAACAGGAAACAAAGCUUAGCAGGAGAGGAGAGCCAGAGAAGUGACAGGGAAGCUACAGGUUACAACAGAUUUGUGAACUCAGCCAAGCACAGUGGUGGCAGGGCCUAGCUGCUACAAAGAAGACAUGUUUUAGACAAUACUCAUGUGUAUGGGCAAAAAACUCGAGGACUGUAUUUGUGACUAAUUGUAUAACAGGUUAUUUUAGUUUCUGUUCUGUGGAAAGUGUAAAGCAUUCCAACAAAGGGUUUUAAUGUAGAUUUUUUUUUUUUUGCACCCAUGCUGUUGAUUGCUAAAUGUAAUAGUCUGAUCAUGACGCUGAAUAAAUGUGUCUUUUUUUAAAUGUGCUGUGUAAAGUUAGUCUACUCUGAAGCCAUCUUGGUAUACUACCCCAACAGUGUGAAGUUAGAAUUCCUUCAGGGUGAUGCCAGGUUCCAUUCGAAAUUGAUUUGCAACCUGCUUGGGCACAGAAGCCAUUGUCUCCACAAACCUUGGUGUAGUUGAACUGACAGUUAAUGUGUUGUGACCUGGAGUUCACCAUUAAAAGGGUCACCCAAGCAAAGUCCUGGAGUUUAUUUGGUUAUUAAUAUGAUUGUUGGCACAUCCUAUGCAAUAUAUCUAAAUUGAACUAUGGUAUCAGAUAAAAUUAUAGAUGGGAUUAAAGCUUGUGUAUCAUCCAUUAUCAUGUGUAAUCAAUAAACGAUUUAAUAUUCUCUUGAAUGGAAUGACAACUGUAUGGAUUUGGGACUGGCAGAGCUUUGGACUUCCCUACCCACUACCCCUCAUAAUGUUGAAUGCUUCUAUCACGAUUCAAGUUCAAAACUCUGCCAGAGAAUAGAAACCAGCUGCUGGCUAAUGCCACCCCAUAAGUGCACAGAUUAGAAGUGUUUGGGAGACCUUUUUAAACUGACCAGCACCAGUAAGAAUAUCUUAUUUCUAAUACAAAAACAGGCUUACAUUAAAGGAAAACAGCAGUUUUACUUUGUUCUGGGGGGUGGGUCCCAGUAGAGGUUUAUAGAUUAACCAUACUAUUGAAUGUGUUUGGACAUUAAAAUUAUGGAGAUGGUGAGGAACCUUAUUAUAUUCAUGUUAACUGCAGUUUUCCUUUAAAUAUGGUACAUCACACAACCAUCUUAAAUUUGUUAAUUGUAUAGAAAAUGAUUUCUUUAAAGCCUUUUUUAUAGUUACUUAAUAUCCAAUCAUUGUUAUUUGUUACAUAGGUUCUUGAGCCCUCCCUUUGGUACCCUCAAUUUCAGUGCCAUUGUACCUGGUAGCAUAGAAAAUUGUUUAUCACUAGGACUGUGUAUUCCAUCCCAUGGGUGUGUUACUUGGAAGUUUGGGGAGGAGGGUGGGCAGGGAGUGGGGGGGGAGGUGGGUGGGAAAGCAUGGUUGAUAGUUCCAUGAGUUUGAUAUUGGCUGAGUUUGCAAUGGCAGGUGGAACCUUAACUAUUGAGGGAGUUUGCAGAUACCUCAGGAUUCGUGACAAUGCCUUUAAAGAUCCAGGAGAGAUGUUCAGCUACUAGGAACUGCUAGCAAGUAUAGCGCGAAUGGCUCCGAGCUCAGACACUCUACAGCUGAGAGUAGACACUUGUGGUAUGUGGAGUACAGAUAAGCCAGGGGCAGGCCACGGCACGCUCCAUGAAAGCUAGGAGGGAGUGAAGUUUCAGUGACCAUCGCAAGAAAGGAGGCAGACAAGAGUAAGGCACACCUGACUCUUAGGACUAGCAGUCAGAACCAGGAGGAAAGGUUUUAUUGCUAUGCUGGUAGGUAAGAACAGAUUUUACUUACGUCCAUAUAGUGUUCUCUAAAAUCCAGUUUUGUUAUAUUUUCCUUAAUUAUAUUGAGCCAAAACUAGUCCAGUUAAGCUGAACUUUGUUAUUUUGGAGAUCAAUUGUUUUAAAUUGACACCCUAGACUUGGCUCCCAAAUUAAGUGAACACUAAUUCUACUGUGGCAAUAUAUUUUUGCCCUUUAAUUUUAUUUGCUACCUUCCUUUAACCCAUUUCCUUAAAACAAUGGCUCAAAGUAAUGCAUUAAAAUCUUCCCCAAAACAUGGCGGGAGGGAAGGGUGGAUCAUUAAUUUUGGGGGGUGGGGGAUUUACCCUGAGCUGGGACUUGGUCUCAGAAAAGCUAGUUCUAAAGGUUGUUUACUUUUCUAGGGAGGAGUCUGCUACUCCAGGCUAAUCAACUCUCUUUAAAAAAAAAAAAAAAAACAAAAAAAAAUCAGAAACUCAUCUGUCCAAAUUUAUGGCUAAAAGCAACAUCCUUAAUGAGGACAACCUUUAUCUGAGCCACUGCACCUCAUUUUCACUGCCAUGCAGUUGUUAGCUGCUUUGCAGCUUGAAUUAUUCAGUUUUAUGAAUGGACUUUUUUUAAUAAAAUGCUUUUAACUUCG
Molecule: long non-coding RNA, 2705 nt
Organism: Zalophus californianus (California sea lion)
Lineage: Eukaryota; Metazoa; Chordata; Mammalia; Carnivora; Otariidae
Exons: 3
Source: RefSeq, a predicted model, not a curated record